Xyrichtys novacula (pearly razorfish) is the source of this 8602-nucleotide non-coding RNA. Lineage: Eukaryota; Metazoa; Chordata; Actinopteri; Labriformes; Labridae. The record is from the annotation of a GenBank genome assembly.
GGCUUUGGCAUUCCAGGGCAGGGAAUAAAAUGUUUUGGUCUUAUUGGUCUGGCUCUAAUACAGAAAGCAGACUGUCGAUAUCAAAAAAAGGAACAGGUAAAUUCCAUUUCUGGAGAAUCCUUGCAUUCUUGCAAUGGGAAAAGAUGAAUAUCUUUAUAUCUUUAUUCUGUCCUACCAACUGUUUCACUUUCACCCUUAAGUGUUUCAACAACUAGAACUGACCUCAGAAAGUUUCACAUGAAAGAUAAGAAAGUAGUGAAAACACACUCAGAGACAUGCAGUGAUGACACAGCUGUACUUCACUCAAAUACUUGCCCUUUCCUGCAUUUGGUUAGAUUCCAGAUCAUAAAGUGCACUUGUGCCGGCUCUCCUGGAGGACUAACCAGGUUUGUUUUUGUGUUGCACUGUCCCCCCACAGACACCAGAGGGUCUUUUCCACCCGUCCCCCUAUUGCUGUUUCAAUGCUGCAGACUGGGAACACUCUAUGAGAGCUCUAACCCAAUUUGGGCAUCACAGUUGGACUCUUGUAUACUUGCACCAGUUGGGCAAUCUCUUGUACCCAUCUCAGCUAUGAAUUCACCUAUGACUGAUCAUACACCACCAACGGAGAGGUGCUAUCAGUCAAGGAUGCACUGAGCCUAUCAGUGGAUGUCAUGUGAUGGCUCAAAGGAAUUAUUAUGAAGUAUUCGGAAUAUUUGCACUUUUUUGCAAAUUGCUCUUUGCAGAUGACAGAUUCUUGUUCUUUUGGUUGUUUUGGAGGAAAAUUGGUGCAAAUAUGUGAUCCAAAUCACUGCUACUGUUAGACAUAUGUAGACAUAUUAAACCUCAUUUUAAGCCAGGAAAGAGAAGAGUUAAGAAGUUGAAGGCCUUUAAGUAGGCAGCAGUGACAUUGGAACCGUAAGAGGUUCUAUUUUUGGUGUGGUUAGGGGUGAAGUAUAUUACAAGCUGACCUUUUUUAUCAGUGUUGCUGUCAACUCAGUGAUAAUAAGAGUUCCCUCUGAAGGUUGAACUAUAUGUGAGGCUCUCUUUUGUCUGUCAACAGAGCAGUCGAACACACCAAAUUAGAUUUUGCUUCUUAAACAUGGACGGAACUCCAAAAUAUACACUUUGAUAGACUUUCCAGUCCGUCGUAACGUGUGCUGAACAAUUCUUAAAUCAACUCAGCAAGCUUCGAAAAAAGUGAGGGUGCUGUUAAUGUAUUUAAGCUGAUUUGCUUUGAUAUUUUCAUCUCCUGUUCUUUGCUAUGUGGGCUUGAUAAGACAGCAAACUUUGAGCAUGGUACAAGAAUAUGGUGGGGUUAAAUGCAUAAAUACUGCUUAACCUAGACAGAACCUAAAUUUUGUUAGUUUGACUGUUUUCCAGCAUAUAAAUGCCAUGCACAUGUAGCAAUCAAGACAACCCUGGGUGUGAAAAUCACACAUUCCUCACAGGAAAGUUUCCUUAUCUGGUCCCAGGACACAGGAUAUAAAUCUUUCCAGACUUGUUUACACUUUCAGGUGCCUAAGUGACCCAACCGGAGGUUGACCAAACUUCUGACUCUUCAUGAUUGGUCAGUUCGGCGAACAGAGACAGAGUUUUUAUUACCUUUCAAACUUACUCCAUCACUGACCAUCUAAAUAAACAUUAACGUCUCAACCCAGAUCUCCCAUUUGAGAUUUACCUUCUUAAAGUGUGUGAACAUACGGACCCCAGGAUAAGGGGGGACACUGACCUCCAGACCUCGGUCGUAAAACCCUGCUCGACCAUACACUGAUAAAGACUACAUUCCUUUGGUGAAAGAAUACAAAUGACUGAUCAUGACAUCUUAUGCAUUCAGCAAUGUACUAAUCUGUCUAAUCAUGAAAUUUGUGUUAAAAUGAGAUGUUUCCCAUUUUUCUAUGUGCUCCAGAAGCCGAGUUAUCGCUCUUUAGUUUCUUUAGACCAACAGCUUUUCAGACUGUUUCAUGAACUUUUAAGAGUUAAAUUUAUUGACUAUGAAUCAAAACUUUACUCUAAAGUAACAUAAACAGUUUAGAAAUGUUUGGUUUAUAUUUUAGUUGUUUAUUUAGUAUUUUUAACCAUUAGAUGGUUAUAAUGUCAUUGAAUAACCUGAAUGUGAGUAUUUAGAAUCCAUUAUUAAUCAUGAUGAAGUUCAUUCACAUGUGUUUACUCUUUUGUUGUUCACAGUUUCCAUGUGUUACUAUCUGUUUCAUUUCAGAGUAAUUUAGCAUGUUCAAUGUGAUACUUAAAACAUAAUGAGAAUGUUUGAUGUGAUCCUACACUUCAUUCAUAUGUGUUUAGUGUCAAAUUAUUUAUCAUGAAACCAAGUAUUCAAUGAUAUUAAUCAUAGUGAGUGAGUAUCAGAUCUGACUCUUUUACCAGCCAAAAGAAUAAGUUAGAUCAAAUAAUCAGAGACCCGAUGACCCCCUCCUCUUUCUCCUCACACACACACGCCGUAGACACUCCAAGUGUGAGAAGAUAAAACCAGUGAAGUGGGGUUGCGCACUCUCUUAUGCUUCUCUCUCUUGUCCAUCACUUCCUUCCUCUCUCGUACCCACUCUUCUGCCCACACCCUUCUGUGGUGCGUUUCUUUGUUUUCUCUUAGAACUUUUUCUUAGUCUUCUAAGUUUUACGCCACGUGUUGAUUCACGUUGAUUUUUCUUUAACAUCGUCUUAGUUCAAGUUUUGAAACUUCAACUUUUUGUGCGCAUAGCAAUUCAAGAUUAAGCCUUUGAUUGAUUUUUCUUUAAUUUCGCGAAGCCAUUUUUGAAAGUUUUCUCUACUCUUCGAGCCUCGUUUUCUGAGUUAUCUGCGUGAUUCAAAGUCACCUCUGAACGCAAUCCAGCAGGCCCAGGUCAUCCUCUGUGCCAGAGUUUUUGAGUGAGACCAAGAAGCGUCCAAACGAGCAUCCACAGGAUCCACAGGCGCCGGCUUUACUCCAGGCCCGAGUGCUACAACUCCCGGCUCAUCCUUCGGCUGACCUCAGUCGUCUUCUGAGCUGAACCGCUCGAACCGCCAGUAGCCCUGGACCUUCGGAACCUGCUCCAUCUUCUCCAAGGACCAGUCGCACUUAAGUAUGCAAACCUCCAGAGCUCUAAAGAGGGCUGGUGCUGUCUCAUGCGUUCAUAACUCAGAUAUCCUCUUAUUCUGGUAAUCUUAGAUUCCUCCAAAUCCACAUCCGAGUUUAUCUCGACACCAAAGUUAGUGUAGGUUAAUAUGUUAGCGCAUAUUCACUCACUAUCAUUAACUUUAGUGCUCCUAGCCUGACUCAGAAUCUUUAUUUAUUCACCUAUUAUUAUUUAUCUUCAUUAUCUUAUCAUCAUUUAUUGCAUGUGUGUUGUACCAUCAUUUAUCCUGUAAUAAACAGAUCAUUAUUUUUCUAAGUUCUUGACUGUUAGUGUUCUUCCAGAAGUGGAGUCCCUGAAAUUAGAAUUUCGACUUAAGAUAUGAGACUGAUUAAUUAAAACUGACUUGAUGUUUGAUUUCUGAAUUAAACUUUUGUUUUCUUUAUUUUCCCACCAUUAAGGGUGGGUGGUGCCCCUUUCAACGAGUGCAUAAAUGUCAUAAUUUGAGAUUAUUAAUCUUCAGACAUUUAUUAUAAAUUUCAAUCGCUACAGUAUUGUUUUGGUGCGGCCUUGUGAGGCUCAUUUCAAAUCGCUACACACACAUCGUAGUUCAUUAAUCAAAAAUGACUUUGGAUAGAAAUGUUGAGCAAUCAAGAUAUCAGCAAAAUGUGGUUUUGAAGCUGACUGUACCAGCUGGGCAUAAACAAAGUUGGUUUUCCUGUCCUGACUGACAAGUUACCCGAGAUUUCCAUAGCAUCCAGAACGGCUCCAAUCCGGAACGGCGGUGGUUUUUUGCCGUACGCCAAUUCCUACCAGAUCUGUUUGUGAGUUUCAUGGCUGAUUACGGACAGCAGGAAUCGCAGCAACUCACAAGAACCCGUGGAUUCAUGUGCAAUCGUGCGAUAACAAGUUGUCUUAAGCCACAUAGGCUAACCAUAUAAGCAGUAGAUUGUGUCCUUCCAGAGGAGAAAAUCUACUUCUAGACUUAUAAAAUCAGCAUCUCCUCAUCCAUAGUGUCAUCAGGAUGAAAUGCUGUCUAUAAACCUUUCACUUGUUCGUCCCCACUCGUUUGAAUGGUGUGAAAUAUGAUCCACCUGAAACAUGGAGUGUUUUAUUUUGUGUCUGUGCCUGACUUCCUUUCCAGCACAGGUUAAUCUGAGCUUAAAAUUCUUUUCCAUUGUUUCUAUUACCCACUUCCAGGGUAGCUUCUACUAGGCAGUUAGGGUCAGCUCCUGUAGUGACAUCAGGACAGGACUGCUACCCAAACCCCUGCUAGGGCUUUACUUUUGUGAUUUACUUUGUUGUUCAAGAGUCAAAAUGUCAAAGUUUGGAACCAGUCACCUCAACUGCUCUGUUGUUGGUUGCAAACCAGAGCAUCAAUGACUUCUCCUUCACCUCAAAGAGCUUCAACAGCAAAGGCUGAAAUAAUGAUGCACAAAAAAGGCAAAAUAGCAGGAAUAACACUCACAUUUUUUAUGCACCAUUUAGAUACAGAUUGAUGUGACUGUGGCUGCAGUACCUCCUCCAGUUUGGGGUCAGAUCCUUGACACUAGUGCAGGCUCUCCUGGAGUUAUGUUCUUCCACAACUCUCUGUUUGGAUUGGUCCGGACACUCCCCUCUCUGACACUACAUUUCUGAAAACAUGAGUGCAAACAGGCCAAUGUAAAAGCUGUGCGGUUAUGAUGACGUAAUUCUAUUUUUGAUGGAAAUGUACCCACAACAACUUCGAAAAUGUUGUAUGUGUGUGCUAACCAUUUCACCUCGGACUGUUUUACCAGUGAGGGGCCGUUCAAAGCAGGAUUUGCUAAGAAGCUGAAGAUAAAACCUGGAUCCAUACCGACUGGAACCCAACUUCACACGUGGAAGCUUUAAGUUUUUACCAUUUUACGUAUGACUAGUGCUUUGGCUGCAAUCACGUGUGUUUACCAUCGUUGGUGUUCAUCUUUAGACCCGCUUCUAUUUACUUGUAUUCCAGUGAGCGGCGGGUGUUCCUCGGGGCGUGGAGGCAGGCUGGUGCUUCCAGACGCAGUGGUCUGGAAAUCCUCAGAAGAUCUCCAGACCAGUGCCGGCAGCCCAGAGUGACCUUUGGGAGGAAGAGUGUGGUUAUACACAGCUCAUUAUCAUUUAAAGGGACAGGCGCAGAAUCAGACCGUUCUCAGUGGAGCUCAAAAAGAGGGGGGUACAGGCUGGCUGAUAUCCACAAAUAAACUAGUGUUUUAGACAACAAACUUCAAAUUUACUUUUGUGGGGCCUCUGGGACUGAUUUAAGUCAAUCAGAUCAUCGCGUGGAUAAUGUUGUUAGAAAUGGAGAUGCUGCAAAUCUUUCAUGGAGGCUGAAGGUGCAAUGGUCCUUUCUUCUGAAUUCAAAAUAUUUCUUCAAAAAUUACAGGUAAAAUAAUCACAGAGCAAACAUUAAGACAUGAUUAUUUUAUUUGGAGGUUUAUUUAAUCCAAAACUGUUGCAAGAGAUCAAAUUAUCUGAUCUUAACAAUGACAUUUCAACUGGUGAAUAGCCAUAAUUUUACCCGUUUUCAUCAGUGUUACUGACACGGACACAUGUUCUGCUUUGUCACUGAUGUAGGGUUUAAUUAAGGAUGUUUUUAAUGCAUUUUUGAAUGAACUGUUUCAAAAAUUUCUGACCCUGGCUGCCCUCGCUGUGGUCUGCAUCCUGUGAAACGGAGGAGUCAGUGUAAAUCAGGGAGACAGGAAUGUAACUUUUCCUCUCGUAAAAACUCUAACAAUGAGGCUCGUAAAUAGUAACAAGAACCCACAAAUUCCCAAACAGUGGGGCAAACCUUAAACAGCACCAUCUUUUACACAACACAAGAGGAGAGAAUAGUGGAUCCUGAUAAAACUGGAUACACAGCGUCACCCCUACAGUUUACACUCAAGUCUUAGUGUGACUUUUACAGUUACUGAGCUGCCACUGAUCACAGCAACAGAAGUGGAGUUAGAGGUGUGAAUUAACCUGCUGACAGGCAUUUCAGUGUCAUACUGUAGUAAAAAUUCCCAAAGUGUAUAAGAGCUUGCAAAAGUCUCCAAGGAAACACAGCCUUUCAAAAGUUUCGAGGGAUGUUGUAAAAGUAUUGAGUAAUUUGAUUGAAGUAUUUUUGUAUUUUUGCUACUUAGUGUCCCCCUCUUUAUGAUAAUGUUAGAAUACAAAUGUUGCAGAACUUAUUUUAGACAACUGGAUAACCAUCCUGGGCACAGAAUGUUCUGAAUAACAGGAAAACUUUCUGUCGACUAAAAGUGCGAAUGUUCAUUAUCCACACGCCUAAAAACAACACACACACAUACACAGAUCUCACACAGGAAUGAGUGCGUGGGCUGAAGGCUGGCACAGCCCCGAACAGAGAGGGUCCUGGCAUGUUUGAACAGGAGAUUCCGAAAAUGAAAGUCCAACCUAUUGAACUGGGUGUGACCCAAGAAGGUGAAUGUUUAUCUUUUUUUUGCACAUGGAGGCUCAUCCCUUCUGAGACCUCAGCUGAGUACAUGCUUUACCUAUGACCAGAGUAAACUCUGUUAACACUUGACCAAUCUGUCUUCUGUUCUUCCUCAGAGCUUCACACAAACAAGCACUUUGACAUGAUUUGGGUUCCAGCAAAACUGUCUCAAAUUCUCACAAACCUUUGUUGCUAUCAUGCAAAACGUGUCAGGACCAGAAAACUUGUAAAAGUGUUGCAAGAUCUCUGAAAAAGUUUCUUUGUAUCUUGAGAAAAGAUGUUCAGAAUCUGAAAAUACACUUUAAGUGUCUUGCAAAGUAUCUUUAGAUCUUGCAAACGUUUCCAAGGAUUUUGAAGUGUGUCCUAGAUUUUCAAAAAAGUGCCUUACAGCCCUGCAAAAGUUUCUUAGGAUCUUGCAAAUAAUAAUGCAUCAGAUUUCAUAUAACGCUUUAUCAGAGACACUCAAAGCACUUUACUUUAGAUACAUCAGUCACACCUUGGUGAUGGUCAACUACCUUAGUAGUCACAACUGUCCUGGGGCAGACUGACGGAAACGUGGCUGCCAGUUUGUGCCUACGGUCUCUCUGACCACCACGACACAACACUCUGAUUCAUACACCAGUGGAGGACACACACUGGGAGCAAGGUGGGUCAAGUGUCUUGCCCAAGGACACAACGAACAGACUCAGGAUAGGGGGGAAUUGAACCGCCAACCUUCCGUUCAUUGGACGACCGCUCUACCUCCUGAGCUACUGCCGCCCAAACAUGUCUAAUGGAAUAACUAGGAAUCUUGCAAAGUGUCUCAGAGAACAGAAACAGUUUUCUAAUGGAUCUUGGAAAAGAGUUAAAUGAUUUGAUAAAGGUUUGUUUGGAUUUUACAAAAUGGUUAGAAUCUGAUCAACCCCCAAUUUCCACCGCAUUCAGAACGGAUACAAAAAGGCCGUAUCCGCCGAUCGUAGCUGAUCGUAACCAUUCAAGUUAAUGUGUCAAUUUCCACCGGCCUCUUUCCAUUCUGCUGCUGAUCGUCGGACUCCUCAGCCGAUCACAAGAGUUCUAUUUUUUUUUUGAUUGCGGGUUCUUGUGAGUUGUUGUGAUUCCUGCUGUCCAUAAUCCGCCACGAAAUCCGCCUCACAAACGGAUCUGGUAGGAAUUGGCGGACAGCAAAAACCGCCGCUGUUUUGGAUUGGAGCCGUUCCGGAUGUGGUGAAAAUUUGGGGUGAUUAAGAAAGCUCACAAACAUUGAAAGCAAAAGUGCUUCAUGGUCUCCCAAAUCAUUCUUAGAAAUUCUCCAAAAUUGUUUCAAGAUCUUCAGAUUUGGGAUGAAAGAAUCCUCAGGAAUCUUGCAAAGUGUCUUACAACCUUGCAAAGUUUCUAUAGGGAACUUGCAAAACUGCUCAAGGUGGUGCAAAGGUGCUAAAGGAUGACUACAAAACCAAACUUUUAAAAAUCUCCCCUAACUUUCAAAAGUAGAUUUAAAGGUCACAAAAACUUUUGAGGACCUUGCAAAGUGUCUCAGAAUCUUGCAGAAGUGACCCAAAACCUCAUACAAGUCUCCAAGGAUCCUUAAAAUCAUGUCUGGAUCAUUUGAAAGGACUCCAGAUCCCUUCAAAAGUGUCUCGUGGCAGAAGGAACUCUCAAAAGUUUUACAUGAUUUGGCAAAAGUUUUUUUAGGAUUUUUGGCAUCAACCUUAUCCGUUGAAGUUGGUUCAGUCUCUUAUGACCACCUUUACAAAAAUUUGCUUUAGUAAGAUAUAAUCAGCUCAGUGUUGUUGUUUUUUUAACGACCUCAUGGAGACCCAGAAUCGAUGUAGCUACAGUCAAGGUAGCGCGGCCUCUUCUGCUCCAAUCAAAGAGCUCUACGAUCGAUCCACUUUGUUGAAAAAAAAAAGUUUUUUUAAUUUUGAGGCGUUCUUAAAGAGCACUUAUGCCCCCCCCCCCCCCAUGCAAAGAACACAAAUGCAAAUUGACACACCAGAGGAAGCUGGUCAUGCGGUUCAACGUUUUUCAGCUUUUUUUGAGAACUUUAACCUCUUCCUCUUCUUUAGCCAGGUGGUUGAAACUGAAAUUCAAACUCAAAUGUAAAGACUGUCACUGCAUGUACCUAUCCCUCAACCUC